Molecule: small nuclear RNA, 106 nt
Filed under: Bos grunniens (domestic yak)
Lineage: Eukaryota; Metazoa; Chordata; Mammalia; Artiodactyla; Bovidae
Source: RNAcentral
GUGCUCACUUUGGCAGCACAUAUACUUAAAUUAGAAUGAUAUAAAGAAGAUUAGCAUGGCCCUGCUCAAGGAUGACAUGCAAAUUGGUGAAGCAUUUCAUGUUUUU